This 276-nucleotide ribosomal RNA is filed under the name uncultured soil bacterium. RNAcentral describes it as "partial 16S ribosomal RNA". It matches the Rfam family "Bacterial small subunit ribosomal RNA", at positions 26 to 285 of the family's 1533-position model. The record is from RNAcentral.
AGAAUCAACGCUGGCGGCGUGCCUCAGACAUGCAAGUCGAACGCGAAAGUUCCCUUCGGGGAAUGAUUAGAGUGGCGUCCGGGUGAGUAACACGUGGGUAAUCUACCUUCGGGUGGGGAAUAACAGUCGGAAACGACUGCUAAUACCGCAUAAUGCAGCGGCACCUAAUGGUGACAGUUGUUAAAGCGGGGGAUCGUAAGACCUCGCGCCUGAAGAGGAGCCCGCGGCGGAUUAGCUAGUUGGUGGGGUAAUGGCCUACCAAGGCAACGAUCAGUA